This 404-nucleotide ribosomal RNA is filed under the name uncultured bacterium. RNAcentral describes it as "bacterial SSU rRNA". It matches the Rfam family "Bacterial small subunit ribosomal RNA", at positions 355 to 776 of the family's 1533-position model. The record is from RNAcentral.
UGGGGAAUAUUGCACAAUGGGGGAAACCCUGAUGCAGCGACGCCGCGUGGAGGAUGAAGGUCUUCGGGUUGUAAACUCCUUUUCUUGGGAAAGAUAAUGACGGUACCCAAGGAAUAAGCCACGGCUAACUCUGUGCCAGCAGCCGCGGUAAGACAGAGGUGGCGAGCGUUGUUCGGAAUUACUGGGCUUAAAGGGCGAGUAGGCGGUGGAACAAGUCUGAGGUGGAAUCUUAGGGCUUAACCCUAAAACUGCCUUAGAAACUGUUUUACUUGAGUCAGUGAGGGGAGGGCGGAAUUCCUGGUGUAGCGGUGAAAUGCGUAGAUAUCAGGAGGAAGGCCUGUGGCGAAGGCGGCCCUCUGGCACUGUACUGACGCUGAGGCGCGAAAGCGUGGGGAGCAAACAGG